Molecule: ribosomal RNA, 252 nt
Filed under: uncultured bacterium
Lineage: Bacteria
Description: partial 16S ribosomal RNA
Rfam family: Bacterial small subunit ribosomal RNA
Source: RNAcentral
UACAGAGGUCCCGAGCGUUGUUCGGAUUCACUGGCGUAAAGGGUGCGUAGGUGGCUUUGCAAGUCUGAUGUGAAAUCUCCGGCUUAACCCGGAAAUGGCAUUAGAAACUGUGAGGCUUGAGGCUUGGAGGGGGAACUGGAAUUCUCGGUGUAGCAGUGAAAUGCGUAGAGAUCGAGAGGAACACCAGUGGCGAAGGCGAGUUCCUGGACAAGUCCUGACACUGAGGCACGAAAGCCGGGGGAGCAAAACAGG